GACGAACGCUGGCGGCGUGCUUAACACAUGCAAGUCGAACGAUGAAGCCGGAGCUUGCUCUGGUGAAUUAGUGGCGAACGGGUGAGUAACACGUGAGUAACCUGCCCUUGACUCUGGGAUAACUGCGGGAAACUGUAGCUAAUACCGGAUACGACCCUCGGAGGCAUCUCCUGGGGGUGGAAAGAAUUUCGGUCAAGGAUGGACUCGCGGCCUAUCGGCUAGUUGGUGAGGUAAAGGCUCACCAAGGCGACGACGGGUAGCCGGCCUGAGAGGGGGACCGGCGACACGGGGACUGAGACACGGCCCAGACUCCUACGGGAGGCAGCAGUGGGGAAUAUUGCACAAUGGGCGCAAGCCUGAUGCAGCAACGCCGCGUGAGGGAUGACGGCCUUCGGGUUGUAAACCUCUUUUAGCAGGGAAGAAGCGAAAGUGACGGUACCUGCAGAAAAAGCACCGGCUAACUACGUGCCAGCCGCCGCCGUAA
RNAcentral lists this ribosomal RNA (484 nucleotides) under uncultured bacterium. Its description in RNAcentral is "partial 16S ribosomal RNA". It matches the Rfam family "Bacterial small subunit ribosomal RNA", at positions 28 to 523 of the family's 1533-position model. The record is from RNAcentral.